CUAAAAAGCCCAUAAAAGCCCAUGACCCACAACCCAUAAUCCUUCUUCCAUGAUAAUACUUUCAAAUACUUCUUCCAUGAGCCCAUCGCUGAUUUCUCUUCCAGCACACUAAAACGAUCAAUGAUUUCUCUUCCAUUGCCGAUUAGGAUUUCCAAAAACAAUUGCCAAUUCGCAUCCACCCAUAAUUGAUAAUUGGAAAACAAUUAUAGAAAGCGAACAACAAAAAAAAGGAGCAAAAAGAACCUUAGAACUUGAAGAACCGUCAAGUAAAAAAAAGUUGAAAAAAGGGAAGUUCCUUUGUUGCAUCACAAGAAGAAAUGACAUCAGAAUACUUCAAAAAAUUUAUGGAGAAGAAAAGAUUGGAGGAAGGAGAAAAGUUGCUAAAAAAGAUAAACAGAUUGGAGAAAGAAUAUCUUCUUUACAAGAAGAUAUUGAAGGUCUUAAAAGGCAACACAAAAAAGAUUUUGAAGAUCUUAAAAAAGGACAAACGGAGAUUCUCACUUUGUUACAUUCUCUAAUGAAAAUUGUAAAGCAGAAGGUCGCACACAAAUGUCAAAGUGAAGACAAUCUCAAGAGUCAUUUGAAAAGAAUCAUCCUUCAUCUGUGAGUCUAGAAAUGAUAGAUGUUGAUGUUGAUGCUAAUAUUGAUAAAGUA
Molecule: non-coding RNA, 654 nt
Organism: Benincasa hispida (wax gourd)
Lineage: Eukaryota; Viridiplantae; Streptophyta; Magnoliopsida; Cucurbitales; Cucurbitaceae
Source: RefSeq, a predicted model, not a curated record